GAUGAACGCUGGCGGCGUGCCUAAUACAUGCAAGUCGAGCGAACGGACGAGAAGCUUGCUUCUCUGAUGUUAGCGGCGGACGGGUGAGUAACACGUGGAUAACCUACCUAUAAGACUGGGAUAACUUCGGGAAACCGGAGCUAAUACCGGAUAAUAUUUUGAACCGCAUGGUUCAAAAGUGAAAGACGGUCUUGCUGUCACUUAUAGAUGGAUCCGCGCUGCAUUAGCUAGUUGGUAAGGUAACGGCUUACCAAGGCAACGAUGCAUAGCCGACCUGAGAGGGUGAUCGGCCACACUGGAACUGAGACACGGUCCAGAAUCCUACGGGAGGCAGCAGUAGGGAAUCUUCCGCAAUGGGCGAAAGCCUGACGGAGCAACGCCGCGUGAGUGAUGAAGGUCUUCGGAUCGUAAAACUCUGUGAUUAGGGAAGAACAUAUGUGUAAGUAACUGUGCACAUCUUGACGGUACCUAAUCAGAAAGCCACGGCGAACUACGU
This 496-nucleotide ribosomal RNA is filed under the name uncultured bacterium. RNAcentral describes it as "partial 16S ribosomal RNA". It matches the Rfam family "Bacterial small subunit ribosomal RNA", at positions 28 to 506 of the family's 1533-position model. The record is from RNAcentral.